Molecule: long non-coding RNA, 1577 nt
Filed under: Citrus x clementina
Lineage: Eukaryota; Viridiplantae; Streptophyta; Magnoliopsida; Sapindales; Rutaceae
Description: Citrus clementina (C. clementina) long non-coding RNA (CCLE_LNC000319)
Source: RNAcentral
GUCUAUAAAUUUAUUGUUGUUCCAAUCUUUGACAAUGUAAUAAAAAUGCAAGGUCUGGAAAAUGCUUUCAUGUAGUAUUAUAUUAACAUGUGUAAAAUAUAAAUAAUUAUAUACAAAAUUCAAGUUGACUUCUAAAGACUAGUAAUGGAAAGCAACUAAAUACAAAGUUGUGCAAUCUCUAAAAUUAAGUAAAUAAAAGUAGGAAAGUAUAUAAAUUUGGAGAACAAAAUAUUUUGUAAUUGAAAGGAUAAUAUGUAGUGCAUCAAGCCAAUCAUUUAUAUUCUUCAACACUCCCUCCUCAAAAUAGUAGUGACACGACACAAAAGUGGUUGAGUACUCCUAAGUAUAAGAGUGUCUACUUAUAAUAUAAACUAGUGAGUUUUGGGGUCGAACUACAGAGAAUUUAAAAAUCUAGAUGUCAAUUAAUAUCUUAUGUUUUCAAUUAGCAGAGUAGUCGCAAAAAAUAGAUUCUUGAAAGUCAUACGAGAAAUAAAAAGUAGCUCGAAGACAAAAUAUCAACAUCUUUAAAUUUAUUAUUGAGUAGUAUUUUUUUUAAAUUGCUCUACCAUUUUUUAAAAGCUUACUAAAAUAAUAUAAUUGCAAUAAUUAAGGCCUAUUCAUUAUCUUAUUUUGAGUCCCAUACAAAUUUUCAUAUCCUGAAAACAAGUUGAAUAAUUGUUCAGUACAAUGUUAUGAUAAAAUAAAUUAUAAAACACAAAAUAAAAAUCUCACUUUUUACUCGUAAAGCUAAAGAACGACUUUUUAUUAUUUUGUUGAAUUCCGAGAAUGCAAGCCAUCACUAAUUUCUCUCUCCUAGAAAUGCCAGCCGAUCUCACUCUUUUUCCUUCUUCUUAUCAAUUAAUUUCUAUUUACCGGAACAAACCCGAAUCUUCCAAAAUAUCUAUUGGCAAAAAUUGGUGAGAUUGGAAGGAGAGGAGAUUAGCACCCUUUCAUAACUUGGAAGGAUAUUAACACCAUAUCAAACCUCUCUCUUUCUCUCUCAUCUGUAUCUAAAUUUAGUGUCCAUGGAAAUUGGAAUGGGUUUUGUGAGAUUGAUAAUAUCCAAACAUCUAAUGCUGCAAUUAGUUUUGUGAUUUAAAAUUUGAUGUUAAAUUAAAUAAAACUAAGUUUUCGAGAAGUUUAGGGGAUUUAUGAUUAUAGAGUGUUGGAAAAUUGAUGGGUGAAGCAGACACGUAGCUAAAGUGAAAUUGAGAAAUAAUGAGACACAAAAUCACAUAAGGACACCAGAAAUUACAUGGUUCGGCUUUCAUCCUCCGUCCACGGGCGAAAACAGAAGGAAAAUAUUUUACUAGUAAAAAGGAGUUACAAGUAUUGUAGUAUUUUAGCUCACUUUCCAAAAUCCCAAUACACCAAAACUCUCAAAUCACUAUAGCACGAGCUUAUAAUUUCAAGCUCUCUAAACUCUCUCUCUCAAAUGCUAAAUUACUCUCUCUCAAAUGGAAUGAAUUUGCUCAUUCUCUUUGUUUAUAUUUAUAGAGAAAGUUUUGGCACUAUUCAUCAAUUAUAUAUUAUUUUUAGGGUCCGCCUAACUUACGUUCAACGUAAGUUACGCUCAG